Molecule: non-coding RNA, 823 nt
Organism: Oryctolagus cuniculus (rabbit)
Lineage: Eukaryota; Metazoa; Chordata; Mammalia; Lagomorpha; Leporidae
Source: RefSeq, a predicted model, not a curated record
AUGAGGGACUUUGCACAGCCAGGAGAACGUGAAGGAAGCUGCUAGACUAGAGAAGUAGAAAACGAAAGUGUCAGGGAGUGGGAGAACACAGGCUUGACUUAUUUCCAGGUUUGGUCAAAGACCUCCUGGUGGAGUCUUGGGAAUGCAGAGCAAACUCCCCUUGGCUCCUAGGGCAGCGCCUGGUGACCAACCAUCCCAAUUUUCCUGGGACUGAAGGGUCCAUGGGAUGCUAGACUUGCAGUGCUAAAACCAAGGUGAAGCAAAAGAUGUUCAGAGAGACCAGAUGACUUGGCCAAGUUUACAUAAAAGAUCAGGUCUUUGAAUCUAGGUAUGUCUGUUGUUAUAACCCUUGCUCUUGACUACAGGGUACAAAACCAUGGGUAAGGUUUAUUGUGUCCUGCUGGACACAGCUAGAGAAAGCCUGGCAGAAACAGCAGAGAUCACUUCCUCAAUUUCUGGUUGUUGAGUGACAGCAUUCACUUUCAAGUGACAGGGUUAGAGAACAUAAAGGAUGGAUGAGACUGGGGGUUAUUGGCUUAUUGGAGGCCAUCACAGAACAGGUGUCCAACACUCGGAUUUUUUCUGCCCCUGGCAGAAUAGCAACAGUGCAACCAGUACCGUGUUGGGGCCAAGUCACAUUCUACCAUCAGGCAGAGAAUAGACAUCACGGUGUCCCAUAGGAUAGUCCCAUGGUGUGCUUGUUAGAAGCAUGACCCCUUAGGUAUUUAGUGAGGCAGUUAAGAUGCCACUUGCCACAUUCACAUCACGUAUCAGAGUGCCUGAGUUCAAGUCCAAAUUCAUUUCUGAUUCCAGCUCUCUGCUG